Molecule: ribosomal RNA, 494 nt
Filed under: uncultured bacterium
Lineage: Bacteria
Description: partial 16S ribosomal RNA
Rfam family: Bacterial small subunit ribosomal RNA
Source: RNAcentral
GACGAACGCUGGCGGCGUGCUUAACACAUGCAAGUCGAACGGAAAGGCCUGCUUUCCCUUGUGGAUUGCGGGUACUCGAGUGGCGAACGGGUGAGUAACACGUGAGUGAUCUGCCCCCAACUUGGGUAUAAGCCUGGGAAACCGGGUCUAAUUCCCGAUAGGACUGCAGGGUGGUGCCUGUGGUGGAAAACGAUUUUCUAGUGGUUGGGGAUGAGCUCGCGGCCUAUCAGCUUGUUGGUGGGGUAAUGGCCUACCAAGGCGGCGACGGGUAGCCGGCCUGGGAGGGUGGACGGCCACAUUGGGACUGAGAUACGGCCCAGACUCCUACGGGAGGCAGCAGUGGGGAAUAUUGCACAAUGGGCGGAAGCCUGAUGCAGCGACGCCGCGUGGGGGAUGACGGCCUUCGGGUUGUAAACUCCUUUCGACCGCGAGGAAGCCACCUGGUUGGAAGGGUGGUGACGGUAGUGGUAGAAGAAGCACCGGCUAACUACGUG